Molecule: ribosomal RNA, 243 nt
Filed under: uncultured bacterium
Lineage: Bacteria
Description: partial 16S ribosomal RNA
Rfam family: Bacterial small subunit ribosomal RNA
Source: RNAcentral
UACAGAGGUGCCAAGCGUUAGGCGGAAUCACUGGGCUUAAAGCGCGUGUAGGCGGGUCGUUAAGUGUCUUGUGAAAUCCCACGGCUCAACCGUGGAACUGCUGGCAUACUGACGAUCUUGAGGCACUCAGGGCCGUCGGAACAAAUGGUGAGCGGUGAAUGCGUAGAUAUCAUUGGAACGCCACGCGAAGCAGACGGCUGGGGGGUGUCCUGACGCUGAGACGCGAAGCCAGGGAGCGACGGG